GCCACGGUACCAGAGUGGUCCAAUGGACAGGUCUGCAAAACCUCGUUUCGCGGGUUCGAAUCCCGCCCGUGGCU
Molecule: transfer RNA, 74 nt
Filed under: Minisyncoccota bacterium
Lineage: Bacteria; Bacillati; Minisyncoccota
Description: tRNA-Cys
Rfam family: tRNA
About the family: Transfer RNA (tRNA) molecules are approximately 80 nucleotides in length.
Source: RNAcentral